AUCCAGCUGACGAGUCCCAAAUAGAAUGAACUGUCGUGCUUCCUGGAU
This 48-nucleotide non-coding RNA is filed under the name Schistosoma mansoni. The record is from RNAcentral. Lineage: Eukaryota; Metazoa; Platyhelminthes; Trematoda; Strigeidida; Schistosomatidae.